AUUGAACGCUGGCGGAAUGCUUUACACAUGCAAGUCGAACGGCAGCAUAGGUGCUUGCACCUGAUGGCGAGUGGCGAACGGGUGAGUAAUACAUCGGAACGUGCCCAGUCGUGGGGGAUAACGUAGCGAAAGUUACGCUAAUACCGCAUACGAUCUAAGGAUGAAAGCGGGGGACCGUAAGGCCUCGCGCGAAUGGAGCGGCCGAUGUCAGAUUAGGUAGUUGGUGAGGUAGAGGCUCACCAAGCCGACGAUCUGUAGCUGGUCUGAGAGGGCGACCAGCCACACUGGGACUGAGACACGGCCCAGACUCCUACGGGAGGCAGCAGUGGGGAAUUUUGGACAAUGGACGCAAGUCUGAUCCAGCCAUUCCGCGUGCAGGACGAAGGCCUUCGGGUUGUAAACUGCUUUUGUACGGAACGAAAAAGCUCUUACUAAUACUAGGAGUCCAUGACGGUACCGUAAGAAUAAGCACCGGCUAACUACGUGCCAGCCGCCGCCGUAA
Molecule: ribosomal RNA, 502 nt
Filed under: uncultured bacterium
Lineage: Bacteria
Description: partial 16S ribosomal RNA
Rfam family: Bacterial small subunit ribosomal RNA
Source: RNAcentral